GAUGAACGCUAGCGGCGUGCUAAUACAUGCAAGUCGAGCGGAGAUUGUAGCAAUACGGUCUUAGUGGCGAACGGGUGAGUACCGCGUCGGCAACCUGUCCUGAAGUGUGGGAUAACGGUCCGAAAGGUCCAAUAAUAUCACAUGUGAUCCCGAGGAACAGAUACUUGGGAUGAAAGGAGCGAUUCGCCUCGUGAGGGGCCUGCGUCCCAUCAGCUAGUUGGUAAGGUAACGGCUCACCAAGGCGAUGACGGGUAGGGGACGUGAGAGGGUGGCCCCCUACAAUGGAACUGAAACACGGUCCAUACACCUACGGGUGGCAGCAGUAGGGAAUAUUGGUUAAUGUGCGAAAGCGCGAACCAGCAACGCCGCGUGUGUGAUGAAGGCCUUCGGGUGGUAAAGCACUUUUUGCAGGGAAGAGGAAGGUCGGUCCCUGCAGAAUAAGUCUUGGUUAAGUACGUACCAGCAGCCGCGGUAAAACGUAGGAGACGAGCGUUAUCCGGAUUUACUGGGCGUAAAGCGCGUGCAGGCGGCAUGGCAAGUUGGAUGUGAAAGCUCCCGGCUUAACUGGGAGAGGUCGUUCAAUACUGCCAGGCUUGAGAGUGGUAGAGGGAAGCGGAAUUCCGGGUGUAGUGGUGAAAUGCGUAGAUAUCCGGAGGAACACCAGUGGCGAAAGCGGCUUCCUGGCCCAUUUCUGACGCUCAGACGCGAAAGCUAGGGUAGCAAACGGGAUUAGAGACCCCGGUAGUCCUAGCCGUAAACGAUGUGAACUUGGCGUUGGCGGGUUUAAAUCCGUCAGUGCCGUAGUUAACGCGAUAAGUUCACCGCCUGGGGACUACGGCCGCAAGGUUAAAAUUCAA
This 857-nucleotide ribosomal RNA is filed under the name bacterium enrichment culture. RNAcentral describes it as "bacterial SSU rRNA". It matches the Rfam family "Bacterial small subunit ribosomal RNA", at positions 28 to 904 of the family's 1533-position model. The record is from RNAcentral.